Suricata suricatta (meerkat) is the source of this 683-nucleotide long non-coding RNA. RefSeq lists it as uncharacterized. NCBI's taxonomy places the organism in Eukaryota, Metazoa, Chordata, Mammalia, Carnivora, Herpestidae. The record is from RefSeq and is a predicted model, not a curated record. The transcript has 2 exons.
UCCACCUCCACGCCAUCUAAUUAUAGCCUGUAACACUCCGCGGUGCUGACGGCGCUGAGCUAUUGACUCUUGACACUCUCUAAAGCUCUUAAUUAUCUUUUCACAUAAGCCCCUUUCAGACCUGUCAACUUCUUUGUAUUGUUUAUGGAGGGAAAAAAGUAGCAUAUUAAGAUUUCAGGACUAUGCACUCAGAAGCAAACUUACACGUGUGCGUGCUCUUGAAUGUCUGUGCACUCAUACACACCGACAGCUGAAGGGGGUUUCCACUCGUGAAACAGAGCUGCAGGAUGACGAUUCUGCUGCCAGCGCGCAGUGGGGUUCUCCAGGCCUUUUUGAGAGUAGAUCACCGUGGAAUUAAGCUGGAAUAUUUCAUUGCUUAAAAUAAAGAGGAUGUCAUGAAUGGAAAUCCAUGAACCAGUCUAGAUGAGACAAGACAGCUUGGACACAUCCUUAAGUCUACCUGAAGACAAAUACCAAAAGCAACUGCCUUCUGCAAGGGGAGGAGGAGAGAGGGAGGAAGAGGAAGGAAGAAAGAGAAAGGGACAGAACUCCUCCCUAGACUGUCCUUUUCAAUGCCAUUGGCCUUGUCCCCACUGUGUCUUCCUUUGUGGUUCCUCUUAAGCUGAUCACUUCACAUACAGCAAGCCAUGGCAAGAACCCUGGAUAAACAUUUUCAUGUGGUC